Gymnodraco acuticeps is the source of this 198-nucleotide long non-coding RNA. RefSeq lists it as uncharacterized. NCBI's taxonomy places the organism in Eukaryota, Metazoa, Chordata, Actinopteri, Perciformes, Bathydraconidae. The transcript is spliced from 2 exons. The record is from RefSeq and is a predicted model, not a curated record.
CUGCUGAUGAGGCAGAACAGCAGCUUGAGGCAAAGGCUGCAACCAUUGCAGAUUUGCACUCGAAGAUUUACCAGAACAUCCAAAUAGCACAACAGAGACAGAAAAUCUCUUUUGAAAAACGCAAGGGAAAGAAUGUGAAAUCUUUCCUGAUUAACGUUGGAGAUGAGGUCCUAAGAGCGAAUAAGAGGAAGGAGGGCC